Molecule: ribosomal RNA, 316 nt
Filed under: Vitrella brassicaformis
Lineage: Eukaryota; Vitrellaceae
Description: partial Bacterial small subunit ribosomal RNA
Rfam family: Bacterial small subunit ribosomal RNA
Source: RNAcentral
GGCCUAACACAUGCAAGUCGAGGGGCAGCGGGAAAAAGCUUGCUUUUUUGCCGGCGACCGGCGCACGGGUGCGGAACGCGUAUGGAACCUGCCCCUGUCAGGGGAAUAGCCCAGGGAAACUUGGAUUAAUGCCCCAUGGUACCGUUACAUCGCAUGAUGUUUCGGUUAAAGAUUUAUCGGACAGGGAUGGCCAUGCGUACCAUUAGUUAGUUGGCGGGGUAACGGCCCACCAAGGCAGCGAUGGUUAGGGGCCCUGAGAGGGGGAUCCCCCACACUGGUACUGAGACACGGACCAGACUCCUACGGGAGGCAGCAG